This 254-nucleotide ribosomal RNA is filed under the name uncultured bacterium. Its description in RNAcentral is "partial 16S ribosomal RNA". It matches the Rfam family "Bacterial small subunit ribosomal RNA", at positions 524 to 776 of the family's 1533-position model. The record is from RNAcentral.
UACGUAGGGAGCAAGCGUUGUUCGGAUUUACUGGGCGUAAAGGGCGCGUAGGCGGCAUAUUAAGUCAUCUGUGAAAUCUCCGAGCUUAACUCGGAACUGUCAGCUGAUACUGAUGUGCUAGAGUGCGGAAGGGGCAAUCGGAAUUCUUGGUGUAGCGGUGAAAUGCGUAGAUAUCAAGAGGAACCCCUGAGGUGAAGACGGGUUGCUGGGCCGACACUGACGCUGAGUGCGCGAAAGCCAGGGGAGCAAACGGG